Molecule: transfer RNA, 73 nt
Filed under: Oryza sativa Indica Group (long-grained rice)
Lineage: Eukaryota; Viridiplantae; Streptophyta; Magnoliopsida; Poales; Poaceae
Rfam family: tRNA
About the family: Transfer RNA (tRNA) molecules are approximately 80 nucleotides in length. Their secondary structure includes four short double-helical elements and three loops (D, anti-codon, and T loops).
Source: Rfam by way of RNAcentral
GAGGUGUUAGUUCAAUUGGAAGAACACUUGCCUUUCAAGCGAGAGGAUGCGGGUUCAAGUCCCGUACACCUAA